CCUACGGGGGCUGCAGUGGGGAAUAUUGGACAAUGGGCGAAAGCCUGAUCCAGCCAUGCCGCGUGUGUGAAGAAGGCCUUCGGGUUGUAAAGCACUUUCAGUGGGGAAGAAAGCCUUGGGGCUAAUACCCUCGAGGAAGGACAUCACCCACAGAAGAAGCACCGGCUAACUCCGUGCCAGCAGCCGCGGUAAUACGGAGGGUGCGAGCGUUAAUCGGAAUUACUGGGCGUAAAGCGCGCGUAGGCGGUCUGAUAAGCCGGUUGUGAAAGCCCCGGGCUCAACCUGGGAACGGCAUCCGGAACUGUCAGGCUAGAGUGCAGGAGAGGAAGGUAGAAUUCCCGGUGUAGCGGUGAAAUGCGUAGAGAUCGGGAGGAAUACCAGUGGCGAAGGCGGCCUUCUGGACUGACACUGACGCUGAGGUGCGGAAGCGUGGGUAGCAAACAGGAUUAGAUACCCCAGUAGUC
RNAcentral lists this ribosomal RNA (464 nucleotides) under Vreelandella stevensii. Its description in RNAcentral is "partial 16S ribosomal RNA". It matches the Rfam family "Bacterial small subunit ribosomal RNA", at positions 338 to 795 of the family's 1533-position model. Lineage: Bacteria; Pseudomonadati; Pseudomonadota; Gammaproteobacteria; Oceanospirillales; Halomonadaceae. The record is from RNAcentral.